AUUGAACGCUGGCGGCAGGCCUAACACAUGCAAGUCGAGCGGAUGAAGGGAGCUUGCUCCUGGAUUCAGCGGCGGACGGGUGAGUAAUGCCUAGGAAUCUGCCUGGUAGUGGGGGAUAACGUCCGGAAACGGGCGCUAAUACCGCAUACGUCCUGAUGGAGAAAGUGGGGGAUCUUCGGACCUCACGCUAUCAGAUGAGCCUAGGUCGGAUUAGCUAGUUGGUGGGGUAAAGGCCUACCAAGGCGACGAUCCGUAACUGGUCUGAGAGGAUGAUAAGUCACACUAGAACUGAGACACGGUCCAGGCUCCUAAGGGAGGCAGCAGUGGGGAAUAUUGGACAAUGGGCGAAAGCCUGAUCCAGCCAUGCCGCGUGUGUGAAGAAGGUCUUCGGAUUGUAAAGCACUUUAAGUUGGGAGGAAGGGCAGUAAGUUAAUACCUAGCUGUUUUGACGUUACCAACAGAAUAAGCACCGGCUAACUUCGUG
RNAcentral lists this ribosomal RNA (484 nucleotides) under uncultured bacterium. RNAcentral's name for it is "partial 16S ribosomal RNA". It matches the Rfam family "Bacterial small subunit ribosomal RNA", at positions 30 to 507 of the family's 1533-position model. The record is from RNAcentral.